GCGCUUUGGCAGCACAUAUACUAAAAUUGGAACCACAGAGAGAUGAGCAUGCCCCCUGCGAGAGGAUAACAAACUGGAAGAGGGGGGACUUUUGUUC
This is a small nuclear RNA of Cavia porcellus (domestic guinea pig), 97 nucleotides long. NCBI's taxonomy places the organism in Eukaryota, Metazoa, Chordata, Mammalia, Rodentia, Caviidae. The record is from Ensembl.